ACCCGUUGAUCCUGCGGGAGUUUGCUGCUAUGAGGAUUCGACUAAGCCAUGCAAGUCAAGGGGUUCUUCGGAACACCGGCAGAACGCUCAGUAACACGUUGAUAAUCUACCCUUAGAUUCGGGAUACCCUCGGUAAACUGAGGUUAAGAUCGAAUAGGAGACACAUCCUGGGAUGGAGUGUCUUUGAAACAUUAGGUCUAAGGAUGAGUCAGCAGCUGAUUAGGUUGUUGGUGAGGUAAUGGCUCACCAAGCCUGAGAUCAGUAGGGGCCGUGAGAGCGGUAGCCUCGAGAAGGGUACUGAGAAACUGACCCUAGCCCUACGGGGUGCAGCAGGCGCGAAACCUUUACAAUGCACGAAAGUGUGAUAAGGGAAUCCUCAGUGCUUAUGCUCAGCAUAGGCUUUUUUUAAGUGUAAAUAACUUGAAGAAUAAGUGGUGGGUAAGUAUGGUGCCAGCCGCCGCGGUAACACCAUCGCCACGAGUGGUAAACAUAAUUAUUGGGCCUAAAGCGUUCGUAGCUGGUUUAUUAAAUUCUUUGUGAAAUCGUUGUGCUUAACGCAACGGCGUGCAUAGAACACUAGUAGACUAGGGACCGGGAGAAGUCAGAAGUAUUCUAGGGGGAGCGGUAAGAUGUUAUAAUCCCUGGAGGACUACCUGUGGCGAAGGCGUCUGACUAGAACGGAUCCGACAGUGAGGAACGAAAGCCAGGGGAGCGAACCGGAUUAGAUACCCGAGUAGUCCUGGCCGUAAACGCUGCGAGCAAGGUGUUGCAUAUCUCACGUAGGUAUGCAGCGUCGAAACGAAGGUGUUAAGCUCGCCGCCUGGGAAGUACGGUCGCAAGGCUGAAACUUAAAGGGAUUGGCGGGGGAGCACCACAAGGGGUGCGGCGUGCGGUUUAAUCUAACUCAACACAGAGAAUCUCACCAGAAGCGACGGCAGGAUGAAAGUCAGUCUAAAGGGCUUACUUGACGAGCCGAGAGGUAGUGCAUGGCCGCCGUCAGCUCGUGCUGUAAAGUGUCCUGUUAAGUCAGGCAACGAGCGAGACCUGUAUUUACAAUUGCUAGCGAGCAUUUUUGCGAUCGAGCACAUUGUGAGGACUGCCUUCGAAAGGAGGAGGAAGGUUCAGGCAACGGUAGGUCUGUAUGCUCCGAAUCUUCUGGGCUACACGCGCGCAACAAUGGCAUAGACAAUGGGCUACAACUCCGUAAGGAGAAGUUAAUCCUCGAAACUAUGUCUAAGUUCAGAUUGAGGUUUGUAAUUCAGCCUCAUGACGAUGGAAUCCCUAGUAAUUGGACUUUAUCAGAGUCCAGUGAAUGUGUCCCUGCUCCUUGCACACACCGCCCGUCAAACCAACCGAGCAGUGUCUUGAUGAGGCUUAGUUUUUUUGAUUAAGUCGAAUUUAGGCUCAGCAAGGUGGGUUAAGUCGUCACAAGGUA
Molecule: ribosomal RNA, 1435 nt
Filed under: metagenome
Description: bacterial SSU rRNA
Rfam family: Archaeal small subunit ribosomal RNA
Source: RNAcentral